CCUACGGGUGGCAGCAGUGAGGAAUAUUGGUCAAUGGACGAGAGUCUGAACCAGCCAAGUAGCGUGAAGGAUGACUGCCCUCUGGGUUGUAAACUUCUUUUAUAUGGGAAUAAAACAGGGUAUGCAUACCCUCUUGUAUGUACCAUAUGAAUAAGGAUCGGCUAAUUCCGUGCCAGCAGCCGCGGUAAUAUGGAGGAUCCGAGCGUUAUCCGGAUUUAUUUGGUUUAAAGGGCGCGUAGGUGGAUUGUUAAGUCAGUUGUGAAAGUUUGCGGCUCAACCGUAAAAUUGCAGUUGAAACUGGCAGUCGUGAGUACAGUAGAGGUGGGCGGAAUUCGUGGUGUAGCGGUGAAAUGCUUAGAUAUCACGAAGAACUCCGAUUGCGAAGGCAGCUCACUGGACUGCAACUGACACUGAUGCUCGAAAGUGUGGGUAUCAAACAGGAUUAGAUACCCCUGUAGUC
RNAcentral lists this ribosomal RNA (460 nucleotides) under uncultured bacterium. RNAcentral's name for it is "partial 16S ribosomal RNA". It matches the Rfam family "Bacterial small subunit ribosomal RNA", at positions 338 to 795 of the family's 1533-position model. The record is from RNAcentral.